AGGGUUGAGGCGCAGUUUGGUAGCGCACAUGGUUGGUAGAGCGCAAAACCGUGCGCCGGGGGUUCGAGUCCCUCCACCCCUGCCA
This 85-nucleotide transfer RNA is filed under the name Clostridioides difficile. Its description in RNAcentral is "tRNA-OTHER". It matches the Rfam family "tRNA". From Rfam's summary of the family: Transfer RNA (tRNA) molecules are approximately 80 nucleotides in length. Their secondary structure includes four short double-helical elements and three loops (D, anti-codon, and T loops). The record is from RNAcentral. Lineage: Bacteria; Bacillati; Bacillota; Clostridia; Peptostreptococcales; Peptostreptococcaceae.